CACGUAGUUAGCCGUGGCUUUCUGGUUAGGUACCGUCAAGGUGCUAGCAGUUACUCUAGCACUUGUUCUUCCCUAACAACAGAACUUUACGACCCGAAGGCCUUCAUCGUUCACGCGGCGUUGCCCCGUCAGACUUUCGUCCAUUGCGGAAGAUUCCCUACUGCUGCCUCCCGUAGGAGUCUGGGCCGUGUCUCAGUCCCAGUGUGGCCGAUCACCCUCUCAGGUCGGCUACGCAUCGUUGCCUUGGUGAGCCGUUACCUCACCAACUAGCUAAUGCGCCGCGGGUCCAUCUGUAAGUGAUAGCGAGAAGCCAUCUUUCAAAUUUGAACCAUGCGGUUCAAAUUAUUAUCCGGUAUUAGCUCCGGUUUCCCGGAGUUAUCCCAAUCUUACAGGCAGGUUACCCACGUGUUACUCACCCGUCCGCCGCUAAUCUUUGGGAGCAAGCUCCUCAGAUUCGCUCGACUUGCAUGUAUUAGGCACGCCGCCAGCGUUCGUCCUGAGCCAGGAUCAAA
This 512-nucleotide ribosomal RNA is filed under the name uncultured Bacillus sp. RNAcentral describes it as "partial 16S ribosomal RNA". The record is from RNAcentral. Lineage: Bacteria; Bacillati; Bacillota; Bacilli; Caryophanales; Bacillaceae.